AAUUGCAUUUUAAUUUAUAAUUUUUUUAUAAACUUCUAUACUUCUACCACCAAAGAAAAAAUUAGUCAACUCGCAAAAAAUGUAAUGUAUGUCGUGUCAUUUAUAUACAAAUUAUUAAUUAAAUAAAAAGUUAACAAAUUCCGGUUCUCCGCAAAACGCCGGUCACGUAUCACUCGGGGAAUAGACUUGGUAAUCAAACACUAUUAAAAAAAAUAGUAAAAUAAUAAAUAAAUAAAAUAAAAAAAGCUACUAGUAGCAAGUACGAGUAAGAAACUAGACCACAAACAUUCAAUGAACCAAUAAUGAUCUACCCAAAAUGCAAGAAACCAAUAAUGUGGUCUAGUUUCUUACAUCAAUUAAUCAUUAUUAUCUUAUCUUAAAUAUCUAAACCAAAGUCAACACCCUUCUAAUUACAAACCAUUAAAAUUUCAUCAAAACCAUUAACCAUUUCUCUUUCCCCUACCAUUAUCUUAAUGUUUGUUCACCAGCGCAUGCUAAAAAAAAAAACACAUUUUUCUUCAUCAGAAAUAAAAAAAUAAAUCAUUUAAUAUUUAUUUUUAAGUAAUUAAAAACAUUUAAUAAGAUGCACUUAAUACCCUCAAAUUCAUUUAUGAACACACAUUAAAAAACUUUUUUUUUCUCUCAUCACAACAAGUAUUAGGUAUCACAGUUACUUUUUUUUUCUGAUUUUUUUCUAUUUUGAUCAAUUAACUAAGUAACUAACAAACAAACCAUUUUAAAAUUAAUAGAUAAUAAUAGCAAUAAUAAGAAGAAACACCUAAAAAGGUAUUGUAAUCCCGCAAACCCUUUUCCUUAUCCAACUUGUUUAACAAAACAAAGCUGUUCCUCCGUCUUUUUUCCAUCAACCCAAGUAACUAAAUUUCUUUGACCCUCUCUUGCUUCUCUCUCUAAAUUCUUACACCCUCUCUCUCUCUUCCUUUUUCUCUUAUUCCCAUUUUUCCAAUUCUCUCACGUUGAGAAACCCUCACUAAGCAACCUUUUUUACUCUUUCUAUAUUUGUUUUUGCAAGAACAAGACAAAGCUUCUCCCUUUAAAUUAUCCGUCAGAUCCCCCCUCUCUAUUUCUCUUUCUCUCUCACAACGACACCAUUGCUUGGGUGCAUAAUAAUAUAAAAGUCCAAAACGGUAUCGUAUUUUAAAUAAAACGUAAUAAAUGAGGUGUAAGAAACACUUACCGGACCUCACCAGCACCAUCGGCGUGUGCGCUUCGUGCCUCCGCGAACGCCUCCAGCCUCUCCUCGCAGCCCAGGCCCAAGCCCAGGCCCAAUCAGAACGUUCCACCACCAAUUCCAACGUGGAUAAUAAUCAUCGUCGAAGAAAGCCC
This 1344-nucleotide long non-coding RNA is filed under the name Glycine max (soybean). RNAcentral describes it as "long non-coding RNA (GMAX_LNC000603)". The record is from RNAcentral. Lineage: Eukaryota; Viridiplantae; Streptophyta; Magnoliopsida; Fabales; Fabaceae.